This 308-nucleotide small nuclear RNA is filed under the name Mandrillus leucophaeus (drill). RNAcentral describes it as "7SK RNA (ENSMLEG00000002937.1)". It matches the Rfam family "7SK RNA". From Rfam's summary of the family: 7SK was discovered as an abundant small nuclear RNA in the mid-70s but a possible function has only recently been suggested. Two independent studies have found that 7SK RNA binds the CDK9/cyclin T complex (known as elongation factor P-TEFb). P-TEFb activates transcription by phosphorylating the C-terminal domain of RNA polymerase II. Lineage: Eukaryota; Metazoa; Chordata; Mammalia; Primates; Cercopithecidae. The record is from Rfam by way of RNAcentral.
AGAUAUGAGGGCGAUCUGACUGUGACAUCUGUCACUCUAUUGAUCGCCAGGGUUGAUUCGGCUGAUCUGGCUAGCUAGGCAGGGUCCCCUUCCUCCCUCACCACUCCAUGUGCUUCCCUCUUGAAGCUGUGCACUCGGUGAAAGAGGAUGCCAUCUUCAGUCAAGGGUAUACAAGUAGCUGCACUUCCCUGCUAGAACCUCCAAACAAGCUCUCAAGGUCCAUUUGUAAAAGAACGUAGGGUAGUCAAGCUUCCAAGACUCCGGACACAUCUGAAUGAGUUGCUGCAUGUGGCAGUCUGCCUUUCUUU